AUGGAGAGUUUGAUCCUGGCUCAGGAUGAACGCUAGCGGCAGGCCUAACACAUGCAAGUCGAGCGCUCUCUUCGGAGGGAGCGGCGAACGGGUGAGUAACGCGUGGGAACGUACCUUUUGGUUCGGGACAACCCUGGGAAACCGGGGCUAAUACCGGAUACGCUCUACGGAGGAAAGAUUUAUCGCCGAGAGAUCGGCCCGCGUUGGAUUAGCUUGUUGGUGAGGUAAUGG
This 231-nucleotide ribosomal RNA is filed under the name Madagascaria erythrocladioides. RNAcentral describes it as "partial Bacterial small subunit ribosomal RNA". It matches the Rfam family "Bacterial small subunit ribosomal RNA", at positions 1 to 263 of the family's 1533-position model. Lineage: Eukaryota; Rhodophyta; Compsopogonophyceae; Erythropeltidales; Erythrotrichiaceae. The record is from RNAcentral.